Molecule: ribosomal RNA, 286 nt
Filed under: uncultured bacterium
Lineage: Bacteria
Description: partial 16S ribosomal RNA
Rfam family: Bacterial small subunit ribosomal RNA
Source: RNAcentral
GGAUUAGAUACCCUGGUAGUCCACGCCGUAAACGAUGGACACUAGUUGUUGGACUUUUAGUUCAGUGACUAAGCGAAAGUAAUAAGUGUCCCACCUGGGGAGUACGGUCGCAAGAUUGAAACUCAAAGGAAUUGACGGGGGCCCGCACAAGCGGUGGAGCAUGUGGUUUAAUUCGAUGAUACGCGAGGAACCUUACCAGGGCUUAAAUGUAGAGUGACAGGUCUAGAGAUAGAUUUUUCUUCGGACACUUUACAAGGUGCUGCAUGGUUGUCGUCAGCUCGUGCCG